This 887-nucleotide long non-coding RNA is filed under the name Gossypium barbadense (sea-island cotton). RNAcentral's name for it is "long non-coding RNA (GBAR_LNC003979)". The record is from RNAcentral. Lineage: Eukaryota; Viridiplantae; Streptophyta; Magnoliopsida; Malvales; Malvaceae.
AUUAAUCCCAUGUUAUUAUAUAUAUAUAAAUGUACAUAUUUCAUUACAUAUUGUUGUGAUUUAAAGCCUUACAUAUUUAUUAUAUAUUAUUAUAUUUUUUAUGCAUGUACAUUGUCAACUUUAAAUGGAUGUUGUAAGACCCAAAAUUUGCUCGGGCCCAAAAUGAACAGUCCAGCAAACAUAAAAAAAAAGCCAAUUACAAAACAAGCCUAAACUAAGCCCAAACCUAACCUAACUCUAGCCCACUAUCCUAAACUCCUCCAAGAAACCCUAGCCCUUAGGUGUGCCGCCCCUAGUCUCUGGCCUCUGCCAUGCCGCCGACGUCAGCCCCUCUACCACCACCUGCUCCACCCUCGCCACUUGCACCACCGCCUGCAAGAAAUAAAGACGAAAAUGACAACAAUAAUAAAGAAAUAUUGUAAAAAUGGCUAUAUAAAAGCCAAGCAAGAACAAUGUACUCUCUCUGGAUUUUUUUGAAAUACAAAACAGCAUAUUCAAACACAAAAAUAAGGAAAAUAACAAAGCAAGUUGAAAAGAAAAGUUAGAAGUGGGCUAAGGUUUUCUUCUUUGCUCUUUUUCUUUCUUUUUCUUUUACAAAACGGUUUACAUACAUAUAUAUUUCUUUAUUUCUUUUUUUAAAACUACUUAUAUCAAAAAAGAGUAAAAAAUAUAAAAGAAAUCUUACCUCUUUGAUUCGCAAAAAAAGGGGAGGCAUUUUUUGGCUCCGGCCGCCGUGCACGGCGGUUGCCAGCGACAAAGCCCAUGGCGGCGAUUGACCGGAGUCGGGCCGGAUUUAGAGGGGGGAGAGAGUAGAGAGAGCUUUGAAUUUUUUUUUGAAAACAAAGAUGGAAUGAUUUUUUUUGUAAAAAAUGUGACUUAAAUAGGAA